Long non-coding RNA from Brassica napus (rape), 2358 nucleotides. RefSeq lists it as uncharacterized. NCBI's taxonomy places the organism in Eukaryota, Viridiplantae, Streptophyta, Magnoliopsida, Brassicales, Brassicaceae. The record is from RefSeq and is a predicted model, not a curated record. The transcript has 2 exons.
ACCAUCAAGCUUCAGCUGGAAGUCAUCUUCAUUCUUUCCCUGAGCUCCACAGAUUCUAUAAAGCAUCUCAUUAAUCUCAUCUUUGGUGUAGAUUUCUGGUACCAGCUUGCUCUGUGUGAAUGAUCUUUCAUGUUCUGGAAGACAUAUGUAGUUGUGCUCAUCCUUUCAGGCUCUUUCCAAAAGAUUUAUGAUAUCAUCCUUGCACACAUGGAUGAUGUGUCCAUCUACACUUUGUGCAUGUCCAUGUUCAUCUCUGUAGACUCCAUACUCAUCUUUUUGUUCCCAGUGGAAUCUCCUUACUCCAGCACGGUCGUAUGCUCUUUUUCCAAACUCUGGGUGUUUGUCGAUCGAUGUUGGGACAUCAAUGUUGAUCGACGGUCAAGUAUGCUGUCGAUACUUUGGCUUGAUAUGAUCAUCUACUCCACCAGCUGUGUUGUAGGAUUUGUUUGUAACUCUCCUCUGGUGCUCUGGGGUGUUGCGUUGUUGCACGAAAAGAUUCUCUGCUCCAUUAGCCAUCUCAAGAAUGUCUGCAAUGUCCUCUCUGGAUACUUGCAGUGCAUGUCCAUCUAUUGCUCUUGCAUAUAAUUCUUAGGUAUGAAUUGAGCUAUAACACUUCCAACUAAUGUACUAUGUUUUGCUUCAGCUUUUUGUCGUUCUAUAUCAUUUAGCGCGGAGGUGACAGUGAAAAUAGCUAUGGCGAUCCCUAGACCGAUGAGAUGGGUUUCCUUUUUGGUGAAUCGGGAGACCUUUGCGUCACAGUUGCAUCUAGGGUAAUUCUUGAAUGUCAGAUGCGGAUUAAGACUUAGCUUUUGAUUUUCCCCAUUUAUUUUUGACAUAUUUUUCAGGAAAUAACCUGGAGAUCUCAGUGGCGGCUGUCUACGAUGAGUAUCACAGGGAAAAAACGUGGAAGAGGUGCACUUUCUCCUAUUUUGUACCGGCUGUGGAUGUACCUACUUUUCUGAUCACAGAUGCCUAUAAUUUUCUGGUUGCCAAUCCAGAGGAAUAUAACCAAUGAGAAGUGAUGAGCUCCUGCUGUUACGAGUUAAAAGGAGUUGGUUAGGAUCCGAGCGGGGCGUUUACAAGGUGAAAUAUUUUUUCUCCGCGCCAAGAUCCAUACUAUGAUGUUUUAGCAGUAAUUGACAGUUUAAAAGGCUAGAGUUUCCGUUCACUAGGAAAUCAUGAAGGAAUGGUUGGAGAAACGGGUCGAGCGAGUACCUAUUGGUGGGGAACGAGGGUUAUACAUGGGUUUUUUCUCCUGUAGUUGGUUAAGGGCUACCCACGCCCACUCAUUCGGCCUAUGGGCCCAUUCAAUCCGACGGACGGUGCGUUAGUUUUUCAAAAGCUCAAUAAUCAUGUAUACAGAUCAUGCAAUUAACACAUGGCAUUUCUUCGUGCUGGCCUCACUCGCAUGAUAUAGCUCACCCAUUUUUUCACUACUUUAGAUCAAGCACUGUUAGCCCUAGAAUUUUGAAUGGAUGUGUGACUGAAAAUGUAAGUGCACAUUAGUGAAAUAUAUAGUCAAAUCAAUUCUUCUAAACUUUCCACUCACAUGAAUUACAUAGCAGCUUGGCUAUUAAAUGUGCUGGUUGUAAAUAGUUGGGUAAUAAAAUAUGAUUCUCUUAUUUGGAUACUACCAUACGGUAUCAUUCGAAUAAAUUAUAUGACUCGAGACUCUCUUUGUGUGUGUUCAGAGCUGUAGAUAAUCAUUUACAGAUUUCGUCAAUCUCUGAGACUCAGGCGAGUCAUCCUCUCUUUGCCGAUUCCGCUAGCCAAUCUGCUUCACCUCGCUAUUCUCUCACCGAUUCUCCAAAGGCCAGGCUAAAUUCAAAUUCUGGGAAAACAUUUUCUUCCUAUUUCUCAUUUGGUGUUCGUCAAUAUGGAAAUGAGAAUGAGGAGGAGGAGUCUGAAUCAUGUCCUCCCAAACAUGGAAAUGGGAAAAACAAAGCUGCUACAAUGAUCUCGAGUGGACAAGACAAGGACAGUGAGUUACAUGUUUCUGCCAAAGUAGAAGGCGAUUACGAUGAAGGGGUGAAGCAGAUAGCAGAGUUAUAUAGGUGACUUGUUUGAGUUCUUGCACGCGUGUCUUCCAAACAUCGUAAGAGGUUGCAAAUGGAUCUUGUUAUAUAGGUGAAAAAAAAAGAAUGAAUUCUUAUUAGAUAUUUUGAGACUUGUUUGUUUUGGUUUUAACUUUUAAUUGGUUUGAAGCGCUGUACGUUGAAACAUGGUAUAUCAUCGUACGCUUCUGCGUAGAAGUGCAGACCUUCCUGGUCCUUGUUUAUUGGUUUGUUUGCUUCCCUCUUUGAUACAUUUUGAAGAAGAAAGUUUUGAUGAAUGAGAGAUAUCUUACUUUUGUGACGA